This 698-nucleotide ribosomal RNA is filed under the name uncultured bacterium. RNAcentral's name for it is "bacterial SSU rRNA". It matches the Rfam family "Bacterial small subunit ribosomal RNA", at positions 165 to 882 of the family's 1533-position model. The record is from RNAcentral.
GAGUCCGCAUGUUCACAUGAUUAAAGGUAUUCCGGUAGACGAUGGGGAUGCGUUCCAUUAGAUAGUAGGCGGGGUAACGGCCCACCUAGUCUUCGAUGGAUAGGGGUUCUGAGAGGAAGGUCCCCCACAUUGGAACUGAGACACGGUCCAAACUCCUACGGGAGGCAGCAGUGAGGAAUAUUGGUCAAUGGGCGAGAGCCUGAACCAGCCAAGUAGCGUGAAGGAUGACUGCCCUAUGGGUUGUAAACUUCUUUUAUAAAGGAAUAAAGUCGGGUAUGGAUACCCGUUUGCAUGUACUUUAUGAAUAAGGAUCGGCUAACUCCGUGCCAGCAGCCGCGGUAAUACGGAGGAUCCGAGCGUUAUCCGGAUUUAUUGGGUUUAAAGGGAGCGUAGAUGGAUGUUUAAGUCAGUUGUGAAAGUUUGCGGCUCAACCGUAAAAUUGCAGUUGAUACUGGAUAUCUUGAGUGCAGUUGAGGCAGGCGGAAUUCGUGGUGUAGCGGUGAAAUGCUUAGAUAUCACGAAGAACUCCGAUUGCGAAGGCAGCCUGCUAAGCUGCAACUGACAUUGAGGCUCGAAAGUGUGGGUAUCAAACAGGAUUAGAUACCCUGGUAGUCCACACGGUAAACGAUGAAUACUCGCUGUUUGCGAUAUACUGCAAGCGGCCAAGCGAAAGCGUUAAGUAUUCCACCUGGGGAGUA